GAUGAAGAACGUAGCGAAAUGCGAUAAGUAAUAUAAAUUGCAGAAUUCAGUGAAUCAUCGAAUCUUUGAACGCACAUUGCGCCCGCCAGUAUUCUGGCGGGCAUGCCUGUUCGAGCGUCAUUACAACCCUCAAGCCCCCCGGCUUGGUGUUGGGGACCGGCCACCGGUGCCCUGCUGCUUCCGCGGCAGGCGCACCCGGCCGCCCCCGAAAUGAAUUGGCGGCCCCGUCGCGGCCUCCCUCUGCGUAGUAGCACACAUCUCGCAGCUGGAGCGCGGAGCGGCCACUGCCGUAAAACGCACCAACUUUUUUUACAGUUGACCUCGAAUCAGGUAGGAAUACCCGCUGAACUUAAGCAUAUCAAUAAGCGGAGAA
This 373-nucleotide unclassified non-coding RNA is filed under the name soil metagenome. RNAcentral describes it as "partial contains 5.8S ribosomal RNA, internal transcribed spacer 2, and large subunit ribosomal RNA". The stretch from base 1 to 120 matches the Rfam family "5.8S ribosomal RNA", at positions 35 to 154 of the family's 154-position model. The record is from RNAcentral.